This 2151-nucleotide long non-coding RNA is filed under the name Apis mellifera (honey bee). RNAcentral's name for it is "uncharacterized LOC113218961". Lineage: Eukaryota; Metazoa; Arthropoda; Insecta; Hymenoptera; Apidae. The record is from RNAcentral.
AAUUUAUUUAAGAAUGAGGAAGUUUCAGAAAAUUAUAUAUAGCUAAUAGUAAAUUAAAAUUUUUGUUUCAUAAGACUGUUUAUAUAGAAGUUUGUUGAUGGUAUCUGAGUUUCAUAAUUGUGAGUAGAAUUAUAAGAAGUUUAGGUGAUACCUGUAAUUAUGAUGAAAGUUACUCGCCCAUAAUUAGAAAAUAUGAUUUAGAAAAGUGAAAGGAUCAUCAUUUACCUUUCGAACUCGAUAAAAAAUCCACGUUCUCCUCAUUUCCUAUACCAAUUACAAUUUAUAAUGCUACUCUACACGCCAUCUAUUCAUAAUGAAAAGAAUUACCAAUCACUCAAUCGUAUGGCUCGAUAAAGAAGAAAAUGAUUAUGUCGAUGAAAAAUCCUGAUGAUAAGUCUGAUAAAUUGAUAAUUUUAUCAUAUAAUAUGCACUUAAUUUAUCUGAAAUAGAAUGAAAUUUUUUCUUUCGUUCUUUCUUAAGUCAGAAAUUUUUUUCACUUAAUAUACGCUUGUAAUGUAGCGUCAUAAACUUGAAGAAAGUACAUCACGAUUUCUCGAUAUAUCUAAAACCGAAACAAUAGAAUCCCUCUCGAAUUAAUAGCGUGUCGAGAGACUAGAGUAGAAAGCGCGCAUGGAAUUAAUUUCUGUCUCGCCGCAGUUUAGUCGCUGCCUGGUUCAUAUAGCACACGAUUCGAUGAGAGCACGCGCAAAAGCUCCCUAAGAUCGAGGACUACUUCUUGCUCGAGCGUUCCACGCUCCAAUUAACGUCGCUUCCGUGCUUUCCGCAACAUGUUCACCUCAGCAUCUCUUCGCUUGACAAAUUCUCUAUAAUCUAAAUAAGAAAAAAAUUUUUCUUCUUCUAAUUGAAUUCAGGAGAAAAAUUACGACACACCUUAAGCGAGCUGGAGAUCGGCCAAAGGGGUUAAUUUAUCUCGCAGCCACCUCCCUCGCAUGGGGCGCCGCAGAUUGGAAACACGUGGUGCACCAGCACUUCCCUUCGAUGCUGCGACCACGUUGGAGAACGGCUACCGUCACACCUGGACGAGAGAACAGAUGCGGUUUUACUUCCGCGAUUCGGCACCGAAUGUCGCGUGGCUUCGACGAGACUGAAUCGUUUCGCGACUCGUUUCUACCUCUAUAUGUAGAAACCUCCUCCUCUGCCAGACACCGAGUCUCCCGUUACUUACUGCCAAAUCGAUCUGCCGACACAGUUUCCCAUCCUUUUCGAUCGUGAGGACGAUACUCUUGGAAACGCUUCUUUUUUCUUUUCUUUUUUUCUUUUUUUUGAAAUUAAUUUACAAUAAUUAAAAAAUUUUUCCUAAAUUAUUUUUAUAAUUACGAAAUAAGACAGUAUAUUUAUCGAGAAUUGUAUCAAACAUGAUUUUGAUUGAGAAAUUAUUUUUAUCAUUUUUUUCGAAACGUGAAGCGGGAUUAGUUUAUUUAGGUCGGAUCGGUUGUUAUUGAGACGUUCGAUUGAUUAUAUGAAAUUCCACGCAACGUGUGAAAAGUAUUUGUCGGGAAACAUAAUAAUAUUUUUCUCUCGUUAAAAUUGCGUUCUCCGUAAAAACAUAAUUUUUCUGCGAAUACAAUAACACAUGGAGAUAAGAAAGUUUCUUUAUCUCGAGAAAAAAAAAGGAAAAUUUUCCGUCUUGAAUUAAUAAAAAACAAAGAGGAUAUAAUGAUUCAUAUGCGAGUAAAAAAUUUAUUUCUCGAUUUCAAUUCCCCUUGAUCCGAAUAUAUUCAUUUAUCCGUUCAAAGGAUAUUCUUGUGGAAUCUCUACGAUAUAUCUUUUUUAGAAAACGUUGCAAAAUUACGGAAAUACGGGGAUUUCGAUUCGGUGAUCGUAAAUCUAUGGUGGGAACAGUCAGAAUUGGAAACUUCACGGUGACAGGGAUCGGUAAAAGCGCAAGUUUUAUUGCGGAAUACUUUCAAAGAGAAUGGAUUGUUAUGUCACGUAGUAGUACGUGAACGAGCCUCGUCUUUUACGAGGUAAAAAAACCAUGGCAAUAGUUCAAAGAUCCUUAACGUCGGUUUAUUAAAAAGCUGAUCUUUUUCUAAACACGUAGAGAGCUUAUAUACGAGAGAGCCUCCGUUAUUAUACAGCUCGACGAGUCUUUCUUAUCCUCCUUUUUUUUUUUUUUUUUUUUUCUUU